This 403-nucleotide ribosomal RNA is filed under the name uncultured bacterium. RNAcentral describes it as "partial 16S ribosomal RNA". It matches the Rfam family "Bacterial small subunit ribosomal RNA", at positions 28 to 526 of the family's 1533-position model. The record is from RNAcentral.
GACGAACGCUGGCGGCGUGCCUAAUACAUGCAAGUCGAACGCAGUGGGGACGGGUGAGUAACACGUGGGUAACCUCCCAUCAGAGGGGAUAACACUUGGAAACAGGUGCUAAACCGAUACUGAUGGAUGGACCCGCGGUGCAUUAGCUAGUUGAUGAGGUAACGGCUCACCAAGGCCACGUGGCAUAGCGGACCGGGGAGAGUGAUCGGCCACGCGUGGACUGAGACACGGCCCAGGCUCCUACGGGAGGCAGCAGUAGGUAAUCUGCGGCAAUGGGCGAAAGUCUGACCGAGCAACGCCGCGUGAGUGAAGAAGGUUUUCGGAUCGUAAAACUCUGUUGUUAGAGAAGCGGUAUCUAACCAGAAAGCCACGGCUAACUACGUGCCAGCAGCCGCGGUAAUAC